RNAcentral lists this ribosomal RNA (460 nucleotides) under uncultured bacterium. Its description in RNAcentral is "partial 16S ribosomal RNA". It matches the Rfam family "Bacterial small subunit ribosomal RNA", at positions 338 to 795 of the family's 1533-position model. The record is from RNAcentral.
CCUACGGGUGGCAGCAGUGAGGAAUAUUGGUCAAUGGACGAGAGUCUGAACCAGCCAAGUAGCGUGCAGGAUGACUGCCCUAUGGGUUGUAAACUGCUUUUAUACGGGAAUAAAACGAGGCACGUGUGCCUUUUUGCAUGUACUUUAUGAAUAAGGAUCGGCUAACUCCGUGCCAGCAGCCGCGGUAAUACGGAGGAUCCGGGCGUUAUCCGGAUUUAUUGGGUUUAAAGGGAGCGUAGAUGGGUUGUUAAGUCAGUUGUGAAAUUUGGUGGCUCAACCGUAGCAUUGCAAUUGAUACUGGCAUUCUUGAGUACAGGUGAGGUAAGCGGAAUUCGUGGUGUAGCGGUGAAAUGCUUAGAUAUCACGAAGAACCCCGAUUGCGAAGGCAGCCUACGAAACCGCGACUGACGCUGAGGCUCGAAAGCGUGGGUAUCAAACAGGAUUAGAUACCCUUGUAGUC